RNAcentral lists this ribosomal RNA (490 nucleotides) under uncultured bacterium. RNAcentral describes it as "partial 16S ribosomal RNA". It matches the Rfam family "Bacterial small subunit ribosomal RNA", at positions 29 to 507 of the family's 1533-position model. The record is from RNAcentral.
AGUGAACGCUGGCGGCAGGCCUAACACAUGCAAGUCGAACGGCAGCACAAGAGAGCUUGCUCUCUGGGUGGCGAGUGGCGGACGGGUGAGGAAUGCAUCGGAAUCUGCCCAUUUGUGGGGGAUAACCUCGGGAAACCGGGACUAAUACCGCAUACGACCUACGGGUGAAAGCAGGGGAGCUUCGGACCUUGCGCAGAUGGAUGAGCCGAUGCCGGAUUAGCUAGUUGGAGGGGUAAAGGCCCACCAAGGCGACGAUCCGUAGCUGGUCUGAGAGGAUGACCCGCCACCCUGUGACUGAGACACGCCCCACACUCCUACGGUAGGCAGCAGUGGGGAAUAUUGGACAAUGGGCGCAAGCCUGAUCCAGCCAUGCCGCGUGUGUGAAGAAGGCCUUCGGGUUGUAAAGCACUUUUGUUGGGAAAGAAAAGCAGCCGUUUAAUACCCGAUUGUCAUGACGGUACCCAAAGAAUAAGCACCGGCUAACUUCGUG